CCCUUAGAUGUUCUGGGCCGCACGCGCGCUACACUGAUGCAUUCAACGAGCCUAUCCUUGACCGACAGGUCCGGGUAAUCUUUGAAUCUGCAUCGUGACGGGGAUAGAUUAUUGCAAUUAUUAAUCUUCAACGAGGAAUGCCUAGUAGGCGCAAGUCAUCAGCUUGCGUCGAUUACGUCCCUACCCUUUGUACACACCGCCCGUCGCUCCUACCGAUUGGGUGUGCUGGUGAAAUGUUCGGAUCGGCCGUUUGUCGCGGUUUCCGCGUCAUGUGGCUGGGAAGUUCAUUAAACCCUCCCACCUAGAGGAAGGAGAAGUCGUAACA
This 325-nucleotide ribosomal RNA is filed under the name uncultured eukaryote. RNAcentral describes it as "partial 18S ribosomal RNA". It matches the Rfam family "Eukaryotic small subunit ribosomal RNA", at positions 1470 to 1796 of the family's 1831-position model. The record is from RNAcentral.